Molecule: unclassified non-coding RNA, 292 nt
Filed under: Hevea brasiliensis (rubber tree)
Lineage: Eukaryota; Viridiplantae; Streptophyta; Magnoliopsida; Malpighiales; Euphorbiaceae
Source: RNAcentral
GUGCGCUGAUAUUCUUGCUCUUGCUGCUCGUGACUCAGUAGUUCUGACGGGUGGAUUAGGUUGGGAAGUUCCGACGGGACGAAGAGAUGGUAGAGUUUCAUUGGUUUCAGAGGUGAAGUUGCCUGGUUUUUCAGAUUCCAUUGAAGUUCAGAAGGAGAAGUUUAGGUCUAUGGGUCUCAACACACAUGACCUUGUCACUCUCGCAGGUGCCCAUACCAUCGGUACGGCGUCAUGUCGUUUUUUCAGUUACAGACUCUACAACUUCACCACGGUGACUGAAAGCGGCGCUGAU